AGUGAACGCUGGCGGCGUGCUUAACACAUGCAAGUCGAACGAGAACUUAAAUAGCUUGCUAUUUAAGACUAAGUGGCGCACGGGUGAGUAAUAUAUAGGUAACGUGCCUUCAAGAAGGGGAUAACAAGUUGGAAACGACUGCUAAGACCCUAUAUGCCUUUAUGACAUAAGUCAGCAAGGGAAAUAUUUAUAGCUUGAAGAUCGGCCUGUACGGUAUCAGUUAGUUGGUGAGGUAAUGGCUCACCAAGACAAUGACACCUAACUGGUUUGAGAGGAUGAUCAGUCACACUGGAACUGAGACACGGUCCAGACUCCUACGGGAGGCAGCAGUGGGGAAUAUUGCACAAUGGACGAAAGUCUGAUGCAGCAACGCCGCGUGGAGGAUGACACAUUUCGGUGCGUAAACUCCUUUUAUAUAGGAAGAUAAUGACGGUACUAUAUGAAUAAGCAACCGGCUAACUCCGUGCCAGCAAGCCGCGGUAAAG
This 485-nucleotide ribosomal RNA is filed under the name uncultured bacterium. RNAcentral's name for it is "bacterial SSU rRNA". It matches the Rfam family "Bacterial small subunit ribosomal RNA", at positions 29 to 525 of the family's 1533-position model. The record is from RNAcentral.